ACGGCCGUACCAUGCUGAAUAUACCGGUUCUCGUUAGAUCACCGAAGUCAAGCAUCAUUGGGCGCGGUCAGUACUUGGGUGGGUGACCACCUGGGAACACCGUGUGCCGUU
Molecule: ribosomal RNA, 111 nt
Filed under: Caerostris darwini
Lineage: Eukaryota; Metazoa; Arthropoda; Arachnida; Araneae; Araneidae
Source: RNAcentral